RNAcentral lists this Y RNA (99 nucleotides) under Microcebus murinus (gray mouse lemur). RNAcentral describes it as "Y RNA (ENSMICG00000046159.1)". It matches the Rfam family "Y RNA". Rfam says of the family: Y RNAs are components of the Ro ribonucleoprotein particle (Ro RNP), in association with Ro60 and La proteins. The Y RNAs and Ro60 and La proteins are well conserved, but the function of the Ro RNP is not known. In humans the RNA component can be one of four small RNAs -- hY1, hY3, hY4 and hY5. Lineage: Eukaryota; Metazoa; Chordata; Mammalia; Primates; Cheirogaleidae. The record is from Rfam by way of RNAcentral.
AGCUCGUCCUAAUACAGUGGUGUUUAUAACUAAUUGAUCACAUCCAGUUACAGAUUCAUUUCAUUCUCUACUCCCACUGUUUCACUUGACUAGCCAAAA